RNAcentral lists this ribosomal RNA (2549 nucleotides) under Escherichia coli. RNAcentral's name for it is "bacterial LSU rRNA". It matches the Rfam family "Bacterial large subunit ribosomal RNA", at positions 398 to 2925 of the family's 2925-position model. Lineage: Bacteria; Pseudomonadati; Pseudomonadota; Gammaproteobacteria; Enterobacterales; Enterobacteriaceae. The record is from RNAcentral.
UGUGAGCUCGAUGAGUAGGGCGGGACACGUGGUAUCCUGUCUGAAUAUGGGGGGACCAUCCUCCAAGGCUAAAUACUCCUGACUGACCGAUAGUGAACCAGUACCGUGAGGGAAAGGCGAAAAGAACCCCGGCGAGGGGAGUGAAAAAGAACCUGAAACCGUGUACGUACAAGCAGUGGGAGCACGCUUAGGCGUGUGACUGCGUACCUUUUGUAUAAUGGGUCAGCGACUUAUAUUCUGUAGCAAGGUUAACCGAAUAGGGGAGCCGAAGGGAAACCGAGUCUUAACUGGGCGUUAAGUUGCAGGGUAUAGACCCGAAACCCGGUGAUCUAGCCAUGGGCAGGUUGAAGGUUGGGUAACACUAACUGGAGGACCGAACCGACUAAUGUUGAAAAAUUAGCGGAUGACUUGUGGCUGGGGGUGAAAGGCCAAUCAAACCGGGAGAUAGCUGGUUCUCCCCGAAAGCUAUUUAGGUAGCGCCUCGUGAAUUCAUCUCCGGGGGUAGAGCACUGUUUCGGCAAGGGGGUCAUCCCGACUUACCAACCCGAUGCAAACUGCGAAUACCGGAGAAUGUUAUCACGGGAGACACACGGCGGGUGCUAACGUCCGUCGUGAAGAGGGAAACAACCCAGACCGCCAGCUAAGGUCCCAAAGUCAUGGUUAAGUGGGAAACGAUGUGGGAAGGCCCAGACAGCCAGGAUGUUGGCUUAGAAGCAGCCAUCAUUUAAAGAAAGCGUAAUAGCUCACUGGUCGAGUCGGCCUGCGCGGAAGAUGUAACGGGGCUAAACCAUGCACCGAAGCUGCGGCAGCGACGCUUAUGCGUUGUUGGGUAGGGGAGCGUUCUGUAAGCCUGCGAAGGUGUGCUGUGAGGCAUGCUGGAGGUAUCAGAAGUGCGAAUGCUGACAUAAGUAACGAUAAAGCGGGUGAAAAGCCCGCUCGCCGGAAGACCAAGGGUUCCUGUCCAACGUUAAUCGGGGCAGGGUGAGUCGACCCCUAAGGCGAGGCCGAAAGGCGUAGUCGAUGGGAAACAGGUUAAUAUUCCUGUACUUGGUGUUACUGCGAAGGGGGGACGGAGAAGGCUAUGUUGGCCGGGCGACGGUUGUCCCGGUUUAAGCGUGUAGGCUGGUUUUCCAGGCAAAUCCGGAAAAUCAAGGCUGAGGCGUGAUGACGAGGCACUACGGUGCUGAAGCAACAAAUGCCCUGCUUCCAGGAAAAGCCUCUAAGCAUCAGGUAACAUCAAAUCGUACCCCAAACCGACACAGGUGGUCAGGUAGAGAAUACCAAGGCGCUUGAGAGAACUCGGGUGAAGGAACUAGGCAAAAUGGUGCCGUAACUUCGGGAGAAGGCACGCUGAUAUGUAGGUGAAGUCCCUCGCGGAUGGAGCUGAAAUCAGUCGAAGAUACCAGCUGGCUGCAACUGUUUAUUAAAAACACAGCACUGUGCAAACACGAAAGUGGACGUAUACGGUGUGACGCCUGCCCGGUGCCGGAAGGUUAAUUGAUGGGGUUAGCCGCAAGGCGAAGCUCUUGAUCGAAGCCCCGGUAAACGGCGGCCGUAACUAUAACGGUCCUAAGGUAGCGAAAUUCCUUGUCGGGUAAGUUCCGACCUGCACGAAUGGCGUAAUGAUGGCCAGGCUGUCUCCACCCGAGACUCAGUGAAAUUGAACUCGCUGUGAAGAUGCAGUGUACCCGCGGCAAGACGGAAAGACCCCGUGAACCUUUACUAUAGCUUGACACUGAACAUUGAGCCUUGAUGUGUAGGAUAGGUGGGAGGCUUUGAAGUGUGGACGCCAGUCUGCAUGGAGCCGACCUUGAAAUACCACCCUUUAAUGUUUGAUGUUCUAACGUUGACCCGUAAUCCGGGUUGCGGACAGUGUCUGGUGGGUAGUUUGACUGGGGCGGUCUCCUCCUAAAGAGUAACGGAGGAGCACGAAGGUUGGCUAAUCCUGGUCGGACAUCAGGAGGUUAGUGCAAUGGCAUAAGCCAGCUUGACUGCGAGCGUGACGGCGCGAGCAGGUGCGAAAGCAGGUCAUAGUGAUCCGGUGGUUCUGAAUGGAAGGGCCAUCGCUCAACGGAUAAAAGGUACUCCGGGGAUAACAGGCUGAUACCGCCCAAGAGUUCAUAUCGACGGCGGUGUUUGGCACCUCGAUGUCGGCUCAUCACAUCCUGGGGCUGAAGUAGGUCCCAAGGGUAUGGCUGUUCGCCAUUUAAAGUGGUACGCGAGCUGGGUUUAGAACGUCGUGAGACAGUUCGGUCCCUAUCUGCCGUGGGCGCUGGAGAACUGAGGGGGGCUGCUCCUAGUACGAGAGGACCGGAGUGGACGCAUCACUGGUGUUCGGGUUGUCAUGCCAAUGGCACUGCCCGGUAGCUAAAUGCGGAAGAGAUAAGUGCUGAAAGCAUCUAAGCACGAAACUUGCCCCGAGAUGAGUUCUCCCUGACUCCUUGAGAGUCCUGAAGGAACGUUGAAGACGACGACGUUGAUAGGCCGGGUGUGUAAGCGCAGCGAUGCGUUGAGCUAACCGGUACUAAUGAACCGUGAGGCUUAACCUU